ACCAGACUCCUACGGGAGGCAGCAGUGGGGGAUAUUGCACAAUGGGGGAAACCCUGAUGCAGCAACGCCGCGUGAGUGAAGAAGUAUUUCGGUAUGUAAAGCUCUAUCAGCAGGGAAGAGAAUGACGGUACCUGACUAAGAAGCCCCGGCUAACUACGUGCCAGCAGCCGCGGUAAUACGUAGGGGGCGAGCGUUAUCCGGAUUUACUGGGUGUAAAGGGAGCGUAGACGGCUGGUCAAGUCUGAAGUGAAAGCCCGGGGCUUAACCCCGGAACGGCUUUGGAAACUGAGCAGCUAGAGUGCUGGAGAGGUAAGCGGAAUUCCUAGUGUAGCGGUGAAAUGCGUAGAUAUUAGGAGGAACACCAGUGGCGAAGGCGGCUUACUGGACAGUAACUGACGUUGAGGCUCGAAAGCGUGGGGAGCAAACAGGAUUAGAUACCCUCGUAG
Molecule: ribosomal RNA, 446 nt
Filed under: uncultured bacterium
Lineage: Bacteria
Description: bacterial SSU rRNA
Rfam family: Bacterial small subunit ribosomal RNA
Source: RNAcentral